Molecule: non-coding RNA, 32 nt
Filed under: Xenopus tropicalis (tropical clawed frog)
Lineage: Eukaryota; Metazoa; Chordata; Amphibia; Anura; Pipidae
Also listed under: 4 other names
Source: RNAcentral
CAAGGUUUCCGUAGGUGAACCUGCGGAAGGAU